RNAcentral lists this small RNA (121 nucleotides) under Marmota monax (woodchuck). Lineage: Eukaryota; Metazoa; Chordata; Mammalia; Rodentia; Sciuridae. The record is from RNAcentral.
GCUGGGCAUGGUGGCUCAGGCCUAUAAUCCCAGCAACUUGAGAGGCUGAGGCAGGAGGAUCUCAGGUUCAAAGCCUCAGCAAUGGUGAGGUACUAUGCAACUCAGUGAGACCCUGUCUCUA